Lemur catta (Ring-tailed lemur) is the source of this 301-nucleotide long non-coding RNA. RefSeq lists it as uncharacterized. The record is from RefSeq and is a predicted model, not a curated record. The transcript is spliced from 3 exons. Lineage: Eukaryota; Metazoa; Chordata; Mammalia; Primates; Lemuridae.
AACCAGAGAAUCAAAGGAACAUUUAAUAUUAAAAAGACCGAUUACCUCCUUGUGGAUGAACAACACGAGGCUGUACAAAAGAUGGCUUCACAACUUCAAACCACCAGAAGAGUUCUGCCAUGAACACCAAAUAAUUACUCUAUAUAAGAAAGUUAAGAAAAUUAAAAGAAAACCUAAAUUAGGUCAGACCUGUUACGCUGGAGCACUUACCCUCCACUCUGACGACACCGGGGCAGUAGAAGUGGAUGAGGGCAGCUAAGGCACAGCCAUCUGUGCCGUCCUUCAGCAGAUUCUCCACCAG